Molecule: long non-coding RNA, 1616 nt
Filed under: Homo sapiens (human)
Lineage: Eukaryota; Metazoa; Chordata; Mammalia; Primates; Hominidae
Description: HSALNT0404688
Source: RNAcentral
AGCAGGAAUGCGCUGGCUGCCCGGGAGCCUUCAGGGUGGGCUCUGGGGGCCAGGUGCGGCCUCAGCGCCGUCCCUUCCCGGGAAGCCUCCUCCCUGGGGUCCACGCCGGCUCCUGCUGGCUCCCCCAUUCCGCUGAAAUCUGAGGAAAAGGCUCUGGGAACGCAGCCAGACUCCCCCACAGCUCAGACGGCUGUAAAGAAAUAUUCCUGCCAGAUGUUCAGAGGCGGAGGCCAGCAUGAGUUCCCAGAACCAGAGCUUCUAUGGCGGAUUCUCACCAGAAAAUGAAAUUCUCAGCUUACAGGCAACGGAACAAAAUGAAAUCAGGCCAAUGCACGCGGCCCCGGGAAGCACCAGGGGGCCUCAGCGAGCUCCUGAGUUUCACACUCAGUGCGGGGGUUUCCGCCUCAGCCCCUCUUAGCGGGAGUCACUAAAGGAAACGCAGAGAGGGCGGGAACGCAACCCCAGCACCCUGCGGCUCCCGCCACGGGGUCGCGCCCUCCCUCUGAUAUCCAGAGCCUGCGGCUCCCAGAGGCGCUCCCGGAACAAACCGGGGCGCGCAGAGCUUUCUUCGCCGCUGUCUGGGGGCCGCAGGACUGUCCCAGGGCCCGUGAUUGACGGACCAGUCCCCGGCAUUGAGCCUUGUGUCUUUCCAGUUACAGGCGAUGCUGCCGGAAACGUGUGUUUUCCUAUCUAGGAGUCAGUCUGUCGCAGACCGAUUCCUGGAUCGCCGAGGUCGCCCACUCUCCCCAGAAGCCUGCUCCCUCCCGACCCGACCGGUGGGAGGCCGCGUCCCCGACGCUUGCCAGGAGCCCCGCCUGCAGCCGAGGCGUCCUCCCCGCGCCGCGGGCUCCUGUGGCAACGGCCGCCUCCCGGCUGGCCUCUUUUCUGCCUUCUGCCUUCCCGUUGGCGACUGGGGAGGCCCGUGGUCAACGAGGCCCCAGCGAUCACCUGGGGGACGUCCUGUAGGGAGAGCCUGACUCACAAGGACCAGUGUUGAGCCGUCGCACCCCCGCUUGGGACCAGGAUGGGCUGCACUUUCCCCACCCGCGGCCCUGGGACCCGCCCCACCCGAAGCCCGGGGAGAUCCAACCGCAGGCUGCCUCCGGCCAGCGGACUCAUUCACACUCCGCAAACAGGCUGGGGCCAGACGCCGCCCUGCCCUAGGUGCCCAGCAAACACGCGGGCCAGCCAGACCCCUGGACCUUCACAGGGAGGAGGAGAUGGAGAUGGGUUCACCCCCCACAAAGGAGGGAGGGGAGGGGAUGGCCGCCAUGCCCAGGUGCCGGGACAGGAGCCGAGGGCCGCGUGCACCCCUUGGGCCCUUGGAGGGGCCGGCAUGUGCCUCUCUGUCCCUGUGCCACUUCCACUGGCCGUACAGGGCCACCACCGCGGAAACCGCAUGUGUAACCCCUGGAAACAGGGUCCUCCUUGAUGAGUCAUGUUCUAAGUUGGGAGGAAAAUUCACUGGAUAGUGGAGGCAGUAGAAAGAAAUAAAAAAAGUCUUUGUUCCACAGAUGCUUGGAGGGCUUGGGUCCUCGGUGUUUAUAGUGGGUGCCGCCUUCCAACACCACACCCUGGGAGGGAGUCGCCGGACGGCGUUCCGGAAACUCCACAGU